ACCAGAACCAGCACCAGAACCAGAACCAGCACCAGCACCAGAACCAGAACCAGCACCAGCACCAGAACCAGAACCAGCACCAGGCUUCACCCCAGCUCGUUGAUCAACGGGCACAGGUGGAACCCAAUCACCCUGAUUGCACCUGGACUGGGAGACAGGUAACAAGUACACAAAUAAAACUAUUACUAUUUGUAUAGUUUGUGGUCUCUUAACAAUGUUACGAACAAGUAAUGAGAAGAAAUGCCUUUGAUUAGUAAAAAUGUAUUUAAUUUAAUUAAUAAAAACAUGUUUCGCAGAGAAUGAAAAAGAAAAACACUAGUUAAAAAUGAGCUUUGAUCAAAAGAGGAAUUUAGACCUCUACUACAAGUCCAUCUUUAUUUGACGGAAGCAAUAGUCAAAGAGAAUCAAUCAAGAGUGACAGUGGGUGCAAUGUUUGUGCUGUCAUUUAUACAAUACAGACAACGUUAAUAAUUUAUACAUUCUAAUCAGUAAGAUGAAAGAAAAUCAUAAGGAUGCGUAGAACUUAUCAAUUAAUGUGUUCACAUCAGUAGAAGUACCGUCACACUGAUAACAGAUGCUUCUUUCCAUGGUUCAGUAGUUAAAGCAUUAAGACUUUCUUUUUUUUUAUCUCAGAGGAUUUAAAAUCCCUCCAGCUAAAUGAUCCGUCUUCUGAAAACCAGCCUCACUGCUUCAGAAAUCUGUCAGGGAACAUCUGAUCCCUAGACCUGGAGGUCACUUAGGACCUUAUCUUUGAAUAUUAUAAAUCUGAUUGAAUGGGAGGUUGUUUAUAUAUAAUUACCCGUAGGCCUAUGACACCAAUACGUAAUGCUGUUUUCAAGACUUCAAGCUGAAAGAAAUAGGUUAAGCUUUUAAAUGUCCGACUGUAAUCUGACCCGAGGGACAAGAACCAAGACAACCAAGCAGGAUAGGCCAGUGCCCUGAUUUCUCUUGGGACAUGGGGCUAAAUUUCAGCCUCGGGCUUGUCCAGCUGCAGCGUGGAUCAAAAUAUCUAGUCUCAAUAUGAGGACAGUGGUAUUGUCAGGGUUUAAAUGGUUUGAUGAGUUUUCUACCAUACAUACAAAAUAAAAAGCACCAAUGAUACACAGCGCAUCCGGAAAACAUUCACAGCGCUUCACUUUUUCCACAUUGUUAUGUUACAGCCUUAUUCCAAAAUGGAUUCAAUUCAUUAUUUUCCUCAACAUUCUACACACAACAAUGCAUAAUGACAAAGUGAAAACUGUUUAUUGCAAAUUUUUGCAAAUCUGUUAAAAAUAAAGAACGAAAACAUAACAUGUACAUAAGUAUUCAGUCUUUGCUCAAUACUUUAUUGAAGCACCUUUGGCAGCAAUUACAGCCUUAAGUCUUCUUGGGUAUGAUUCCACAAGCGUGGCACACCUAUUUCUGGGCAGGUUCUCCCAUUCUUCUCUGCAGAACCUCUCAAGCUCCAUCAGGUUGGAUGGACUCUGGCUGGGCCACUCAAGGACAUUCACAGAGUCCCGAAGCCACUCCUUUGUUAUCUUGGCUGUGUGCUUCGGGUCGUUGUCCUGUUGGAAGAUGAACCGUCGCCCCAGUCUGAGGUCCAGAGCGCUUUGGAGCAUGUUUUCAUCGAGGAUGUGUUAAUGCCCCAGUCUGCUGUGUCACAGGAUGUCUCUGUACAUUGCUGCAUUCAUCUUUCCCUCAAUCCUGACUAGUCUCCCAGUUCCUCCCGCUGAAAAACAUCCCCACAUGAUGCUGCCACCACCAUGCUUCACUGUAGCGAUGGUAUUGGUCAGGUGAUGAGCAGUGCCUGGUUUCCUCCAGACAUGACGCUUUGCAUUCAGGCCAAAGAGUUCAAUCUGUGUUUCAUCAGACCAGAGAAUUUUGUUUCUCAUGGUCUGAGAGUCCUUCAGGCGGGCUGUCAUGUGCUUCUUACUGAGGAGUGGCUUCCGUCUGGCCUCUCUACCAAACAGGCCUGAUUUGUGGAGUGCUGCAGAGAUGGUUGUCAUUCUCGAAGGUUCUCCUCUCUUCAUAGAACUGGAGCUCUGUCAGAGUGACCAUCAGGUUCCUGGUCACCUCCCUGACUAAGGCCCUUCUCCCCCGAUCGCUCAGUCUGGCUGGGCAGGCGACUCUAGCAAGAGUCCUGGUGGUUCCAAACUUCUUCCAGAUGAUGGAGGCCACUGUGCUCAUUGGGACUUUCAAUGCUACAGAAAUCUUUCUAUACCCUUCGCCAAAUCUGUGCCUCGAUACAAUUCUGUCUCUGAGUUCUACAGACCUCAUGGCUUGGUUUAUGCUCUGAUAUGCACUGUCAUACUCUGAUACCUUAUAUAGACAGGUGUGUGCCUUUCUCAAUCAUGUCCAAUCAACUGAAUUUAGCACAGGUGGACUCCAAUCAAGUUGUAGAAACAAGGAUGAUCAGUGGAAACAGGAAGCACCUGAGCUAAAUUUUGAGUGUCAUGGCAAAGGCUGUGAAUAAUUAUGUACAUGUUAUGUUUUCGUUCUUUAUUUUUAACAGAUUGUCAUUAUGGGUUGUUGUGUGUAGAAUGUUGAGGAAAAUAAUGAAUUUAAUCCAUUUUGGAAUAAGGCUGUAACAUAACAAAAUGUGGAAAAAGUGAAGCGCUGUGAACACUUUGCGGAUGCACUGUAGUUUUACAGGUUUUUACACUGACUUAAAAAAAGUUGGAGAACAAACUUCAUGAAAAUGUUUUGAAAAUAACCACAGAAAAAAGUCAUAUGGUACUGAAAACCCCCACUAUUUAAUUUAAAACAAAAUUCAAAAAAUCUCAACAAAUUUGUAGUACAAACUUUAUACAUAUUAUUUUCUGACAUGGCGUAUCAAGAAAAUAAAAAAGUAGAAAGUAAAAAUAUUUCAGUAUAGAAUUUUGAAAAACAGUCUAGUAUAGUCAGAUUAUUAAAGAAGAUUAAAAUGAACCUUUUGUAUUUUAGUGUGUAUUAUGUCAAAAACAAAAAAAUAUAUAGUAUUGUCAAAAGAAGUGAAAGAACUACAAAUAUGAUUUACAUUUCAUGAAGAACCAAAUGACAAGAUAAAGGAAAAAAUGAACUUUUGGUUAAAAUAUAAAAUAACGUAAAAGAAGAAAAAUCCAGUGCAUAUCAAAUGUACAAGUUAUGCAAACUGCUAAAACACAAAGAGCUUUCACAGAAUAUAAUUGAAUAAAACAUUUAUUCUGACUGGACCCUCCAAACCUAAAACAUUAAAACACAGACAAGGGCAACAAGCCCCCCAGCACUGAGGCGCCUCUUCAUGAUGCUCUGAGGUCACUGCCAAUGGCCUCGAUGUACACUGACCUCUAGUGGCCACGUUCAGGAAGAACAGUACACUGACCUCUAGUGGCCACGUUCAGGAAGAACAGUACACUGACCUCUAGUGGCCACGUUCAGGAAGAACACUCAACAGCAAUCUAAUGUUAAUAUGAUUCUAGUGGGACAUUUUAUUUCAGCUCACUUGACUCCUAAAAAUAAAUACAGAAUGAUAACCAAUUUUCUAUAGUUGAACGUUAAAGUGUAAAAAUAGGUCAAGUGUCACUUUUCUAGGUUUUGGGGGGUUGAUUUCACAAUGAUUGUGUGUAAUACCCAUUGAGAGAUUAAUGCUUUCACCUGUGACACUUUCUGCGUUUCUUUCUCUCUUUUCUGUCAGCGUGGUGCACACAUUCCUUCAGGGGGAGCCGUCGCUCUUUCUGUAAAUCAUACUCGGGCUGCUUUUUAUUUUCAUACAUUAAACAUUUUCCCUUUACUGCUAAAAUCUUUCUACAUUCACUUUCUGUCUGGAAAAAAAAAUAAUUCACGGGCCACUGGCAUUUUGGGAGAUGAAAAUUUAUAUUAUGGGAGUAUAAUGGUUUUCUUCCCAGUGUCCCAUUGUGUGCUGGAUCUGCAGGACUCCAUUCAUCUGUCCCUUUUUCUUCAGUUAUCGUCUCCUUCUCUGCCCCCCUCCCUACAUUUACGUUUCUGUGAUAUCUGCACCUAAAAAGACGCCUUCUGUCCCUCAUUUUGCCCGUCUCCUCGUCUCUUUGCGUGGGUGGGAGGAAGAAAAGGCCGGUCAGUGGAGUUGGACAUGAACAAAGAAGUGGUGUACUUGUAGUGUACAGUAUUGUACUGUACAGUAGUGUAGUUAAGCAAUAAGGUACAAGAGGCUGUGUUUUAUCGUCUGGCCUAACAACCCCUGAACUGUUUCAUUAUUGAAGAUAAAGUACUGCCUCAAGUACCUUUAUUGUUUCUAUACUACGGUUACCAGCGAAAUUAUAAAUGCACACCAGAUCGUUUGGGGAGCUCCCGGCGUCCAGCCGCCUCGUCUGGCUGAGUUUCUCUCACCGGAUCGCCACUAUCGAAAUACAGGGAGACAAACACAAUCCUUGAUUCACUGCACCUGAGGCCAAUGGCGCCUCCACCUGGCACAGUAGUGUAUGGUAGGGUGCAGUAGGACACAGCAGUGUAGUGUAGGGUGCAGUAGGACACAGCAGUGUAGUUUAGGAGUGCAUAGGACACAGCAGUGUAGCGUGCAGUAGGACACAGCAGUGUAGUGUAGUGUGCAGUAGGACACAGUAGUGUAGUGUGCAGUAGGACACAGUAGUGUAGCGUGCAGUAGCACACAGCAGUGUAGCGUGCAGUAGGACACAGCAGUGUAGUGUAGCGUGCAGUAGGACACAGCAGUGUAGCGUGCAGUAGGACACAGCAGUGUAGUGUAGUGUGCAGUAGGACACAGUAGUGUAGUGUGCAGUAGGACACAGCAGUGUAGCGUGCAGUAGGACACAGUAGUGUAGCGUGCAGUAGGACACAGCAGUGUAGUGUAGUGUGCAGUAGGACACAGUAGUGUAGCGUGCAGUAGCACACAGCAGUGUAGCGUGCAGUAGGACACAGCAGUGUAGCGUGCAGUAGGACACAGUAGUGUAGCGUGCAGUAGGACACAGCAGUGUAGUGUAGUGUGCAGUAGGACACAGUAGUGCAGUGUGCAGUAGGACACAGCAGUGUAGUGUAGCGUGCAGUAGGACACAGUAGUGUAGUGUGCAGUAGGACACAGUAGUGUAGUGUGCAGUAGGACACAGAGCAGGAGCAGGAUGAGCAGCAGCAGAUAAAACCCAGCUCCUGCAUGCAUAUUUAAUUUCUGGAGUAUUGCAAGCCAGCAGGAGAUGUAGGAAAUCUGGCAGAUUAUGAAGAAUUCAGCUCCUUUAUCGGUCUUCUCUCUUCCUCUAUCUGCUUUUCAGCCUGUGACUGCUUUUUUAACCCCUUACUUCCAUCUUACCUAAGUGGCUUUGUAAUGAGCUUCUCUUUCAUUUGAUACGUGAAGAAACAGAUGUGGGGAUGUCGUCCCUUUCUCUGUCUGCUAAUGGUCAGAAUGAUCAGAUGACCUUAAAAGUGAGAUUUGGUUCUUUGUGUUCAUUGUAGGGAUUGUGGUGUUUCUUUAAUAUUUCGGGGUUAGGAUUUUAUCCAGUACGGUCAAACCGUAUUUCCUUUUGAUCUUGUUAAUAAAUUGUGAAUCAUUAAUGUGUGUGUUACGUGCCUUGUUUGUGUUUGCGCCUGUGUGUGUGUGUGUGUGUUUCUUCAGGUGUGCUGGCGAUGUCACUCCUGCAGCUGAUCAGUGUUAGGGAUUUAAGCAAGAAGUGCACCCCUAGUGGUGGAAAUGAUAUUACAUGUAGUAAUGUUCAGGGUAGAUGUGUAGUUUGUGAUGUUAGAUAUUAGUUAUUACAUUAACAUGUUAGAUGAAGUGAAUGCAAUAUGAAUCAAACACAAUGUGGAGUCAUGUAAAUCAUAUAAACACUGUACACAUUAACAUUCUGUCACCAUGUGAUGUUAAAACCUGGGGACCGAUGCUAGUUUCCGUCAAUUUUUACGUGUUGUACUUAAGUGCACUAGUUAUUAGAUGAAGACCAUCUAUGCACGCUUUGUUAUAUUCACUCAUUGAGGCAUAACGCCAAAUGUAUCUACAUUGAAUGUAUUGGAAGGUGAGGGACAGAAAGGACAGAGAGGUCUCAGGUUACAGCAGCAGCUUCACACCUCGAUGUGAGGGGGACAAACCAGGAGGGGACACUUUGAAGGAGAAGCCAAUGACAUUCAAAUGCACCAAAGAAGACACACCUCAGGAGUUUUCAAAUGACCAAAGCGAGGAAAGGACUGUUAGAAUUCUCCUGCAGCUGCUUUGAUGAGUCACUUUAGACUCGACUCAGAGAAUUCUCUAUUUUGCGAAAUAUUGCACUGUUCGAAUUGUAUUUUACUUUGUAACUGUAUUCCUUACACUUUGUUUAGUUAAUAAAUACUUUUUGAUUUUUAAAUUUGAGCAAGUUGACUCUUUUGAUUCUUAGUUUCUGGCCGGGACGAGAACAAAGGAGUGAGCCCUCCUUCGAGGGCUUUCUGAACCCUAAACAUCAGCAUGGGGCUACGCGGCUGUGUUGCUGCAGUGGAACCAGAGCGGAACCAGAGAGGUGUUUGGUGCUGCCGUGAGGAGUUUUUGCGAGCCAGUGAAGAAGGAGGCAUACGCCAUACCAGUCUUCCUUUUGGAGAUUGUUUUCAGUUGCCUUGUGUUGAGUUUUCCAUCAUUAAUUACUAGGGGUGUAACAAUUCAUUUUAACAACGAUUCGAUUCGCGAUUCAUGGUUGCCGAGGACAUUUUGGUUUAAGUAGAUAUUAUUUCCUGCAUUCUAGUGGAUUUUUGUGUGGUAUGCUAAAUAUGUGCAAUACCUCAACUUCAUUCAUGUUCAUCUGAUCAUGACUUGUAGACUUGAGCUGAACAUUCAACCAGAAAACAAUUGUUGAGCCUCAAUGACGGUCUUUGUACCACAAUAAAGCCUAAUUAAUAGACCUGUGUUUGAGAUUGGACCAAGGUAGGUUGAUUGACAUUUUGAGUAUAAUGGUAUUCAACCCAUUUAGAACUGAAACCUAACCUGUAUUGUUAAUAAUUGUAUUCUUAAGAGCACGUAUGUUCAUGGAUCAACACAUGACCAAAAUAACUAAACAGAGGUAUCAGAUGCAGAUCAGAAGCUGGUCCUUUUCGUAGGUCCCAGUUGGGAAACGUCUUCAGCGUGAGUCCUUUUCUUUAGUCGGUUAUUAAAACAGCCUGAAUAAAACACGCUGUGAUGUUUUGAGCGUGCGGUUCACCACCAGGUUAACAAAGUGCUCUGCGGCUGCUUGUUGUGACACCACACAAACACAAACCAAUAAUUUAUUUCAAGAUUUAAAGUUUAAGAGAGUAAGUUCUUAAUUGUACCACAUGUGAUUAACGUCUCUCUCUCACAUUGGAGAUGAAGUUUUUCUUCAACGUUGGAUUCUCUUUUUUCCUUUGUAACUCUUCUUCUGUGGCUAACUUCGGGAUGAAGAGGAUGAUGUGUAUGCAGCGAAUAUGGAUGGAUGGACAGAUGCGCUUCUUAGCGCCCUCUACCAUCGGGGAGGUUGAAGAAGAACGAACGUGUCUCGGCCCAAACAUUUUUUGUGUGUGGGAAAUUGGAUGUGUGGCGUGAGAAAACAUUCAACGCGUGUUUCUCAUGGCGAAAGCGUGAGAGCAGCUCUGGUUUGACACGUGGAUGAAUUCCUCUGCACGGUUCUACAUCCAAUGCAAAAAGCUCUCUCCAUCUUCAACCACCGCCUUGCUUUCUCCCAUGUAACUGACCGCAGCCAGCAGCCGUUUCGUUUCCCGCGAUUACUUCCGGAAGUAAACAAACGUAAGUUAACUACGUUAAAAUAUUUUGUUGCAUUAAACUUGGCCACAUUAAUCGCAUAGAUUAACUUGUUUACGUAAACGUAACGUAAAAACUGAUUUCUAGCUUUUGAGAAAGGUGACCACUCACUAUUUGUCCACAAUAACUAUUCAAUUUGCUUGGAAUGCUGGCUUGAAAAUGAAUUUGAAACGAUAUUGACAAGGAAAAAAGUCCCACAGGUAUUUCAUAGACAAAAGCUUUUUUUAAUGAAAAUCAUGUAUUUUCCUGUCAAGUAAAAAAGUUUGAUCAUAUGCAUACUAUUUAUAGCUUUAACAUAGCAGGCAGUAUAAAGAGGGUUAACAUUUGAAAUAUUCAGAGCAUUCAGAAGCAUACUUCUUCUAAUAAGUAGAAACGUACGUGGUCCUCUGACUGGUUGUUCCUCACUAGAGAAACGCAUCCGGUGUGUGAGUCUGGGCUCAAAUUCACACAUCCAGAUGUUGAGAGGAGCUCAAUCAAUGCCGCAUGUUAGAAAGAGGACUCGGGAUGACAUGUUGACCUUGGCGGUUUUAUUCUGACACGUCUCCAUUUAGUUUGUUAGCUAAGCUUGAUGUCCAAGAGGUCUGUUCUGUUGGACUUUUCCCCAGAUGUCUAUUUAUGGAAGACUGCUUGAUUAUUUGCUCCUGAUUUGUUAUUGGCUUUGUUUCACGUUCAGCUGAGAAUAACAAACAACCAAAAUCACUAGAUUUGAAAGACAAAGGGUAACAAACACGUAUUGAAAGUUCUCUCUUCAAUUAGAUUUGAUUUUUUUGUGCUAUUUAUAUAUUCUAGAGAUUUGGAAGUUAUCAUUCUAGAAUACAUGCCUGCCACCUUGCAGCUACACCAGUUCUGAAGCAGACUUAACAUCCUUACUAAGCCUGCAGAUUUUUUUAAAUGCGCUUUAAAUGUGAAAACAAUAUCUGUACGUAGAGAUUGUCAGCAGAAUACUACUAAGUACCACAGUGUCCCAAACGUUGUACUUAAAGGACCAGUGUGUAGCAUUUGGUGCCAUCUAGAGGAGCGGCUGAGAGUCACUAAAGUGGUCAUAACAAGACCUUCAUGACCUAAAAGCUCAAUGUUAUAGGAAGAUAAUAGUCAUAAUAAGGUGGCCCCGCCCUAAAGCACACCCUGCUGUAUGUCCAAUCGACUCAAAAUGGGACCAUUGUUUAUGGAAGUGGACAUCAUGCUGUUGUAGUUUUAGUAGUAGAAAUAUGGCACAGCAACAUGAUGGACGUGGUGCAAGAGAACACGCUCGCACCGUAUUCUCAGAUAAUUACUUCCUGUCACAACAUACAUGUCACAGUGUGUAAGGCAGGGGGCCACAUACUGACCAGUCCAAUCCUCGGCAAUGAUACGGUCAACGGGGGGGGGUCAUUUUCUAAUGGACGCUCCUGCCUGGAGGAACGACGCUGUCGAUCCCCCCCUGGUCUAACGCAUGCGCUCACUCGCAGAGUGCGUCCCCCAGUGGACUUUUUAGUGGAGUGACACCUUAAAAGGUAAGUAGUGGUGCUAAGAAUUAUUAUUGAUUCAUUAACAAAGUCAUUUGCAUGUUUGUGGAGUAUGAGGAGAACUGCAGAUGUAAUAUACAACCUAAUAAAUUCAUAAAUGAUAUACAACUGAUAUACAAAUGAUAUACACAGCCCUUCAGCAACACCACCCCCAGCAGCUUAUGUGUAUAUAUAUAUAUAUAUAUAUAUGGGGGUGGUGU
Long non-coding RNA from Gasterosteus aculeatus aculeatus (three-spined stickleback), 9359 nucleotides. The record is from Ensembl. NCBI's taxonomy places the organism in Eukaryota, Metazoa, Chordata, Actinopteri, Perciformes, Gasterosteidae.